GUUUAAUAAUUUAUUUAAUUUUUUUUUUACAUGUAAAUUUUAGUGGGAUUAUAAUAAUAAUUUAAAUAAUUAUUAUUAGGGAUUUUAUUCGCAGUAUGAAGUUUUAUUUAUUUAAGAAAUUAAGAACUAUAAAUAAAUUUAAAUAUUAACAAAAUUUGUGCCAGCAGUUGCGGUUAUACAAAAAAUAUAAAUAAAUUUUAUUAGUAAAUAAUAAAAUGAAUUUAAUUUAAUAAAAAUAAAAUUUAUAAAGUGAAAUUUAAAAUUUUUAAUAAUUAUAAUUAAAAUUAUUGAUAUUAUGAAAUUUAUAGUUUAAACUAGGAUUAGAUACCCUAUUAUUAUAAAUGUUAAUUUUUACUAAAGUAGUAUUAGUUAUGAUCUUGAAAUUUAAAAAUUUUGGCGGUAUUUUAGUCUAUUCAGAGGAACCUGUUCUAUAAUUGAUAGUCCACGAUAAAUUUUACUUUAUUUAAUAGUUUAUAUAUCGUCGUUAUUAAAUAUUUUAUUAGAAUUAUAAUAUUUAGGAUUUUUAAUUUAAAAAUAUAUCAGAUCAAGGUGUAGCUUAUAAUAAAGAAGAAAUGGGUUACAAUAAAUUUAUUUAUGGAUUUUU
RNAcentral lists this ribosomal RNA (604 nucleotides) under Hydroporus discretus. RNAcentral's name for it is "12S ribosomal RNA". Lineage: Eukaryota; Metazoa; Arthropoda; Insecta; Coleoptera; Dytiscidae. The record is from RNAcentral.